Podarcis lilfordi (Lilford's wall lizard) is the source of this 620-nucleotide non-coding RNA. The record is from the annotation of a GenBank genome assembly. Lineage: Eukaryota; Metazoa; Chordata; Lepidosauria; Squamata; Lacertidae.
CCUCCAACCUUUACUUUUCCUUUGGAACACGUGCCAGGCCCUGAAUGAAGUGCUGGCUUUUGAACUUGCUUUUGAUCUACCCCCAGCCCACCCCAAGCUUCAGUUAUACAGUAUGUUUAUCCAGUUAAGGUUCAUUCCAUUGGAAGGGCUCUCAGCGGAAUAGCCUCUGCUUUGCCUGCAGGAUGUCCCAGGUUCAACCUUCACUGGCAUCUCCAGGCAGGGCUGAGAAAGAUUCUUGGCCUGAAACCCAGGAGAGCUCAUAAUACUGAGCUAGACGGACCAGUAGAGGGAGGCAACUUCCUGUGUUCAGCGCCUUUUUAAAAAGAAACAAACUGGAUGUUUGGGAAGAAGUCGAAACAGUGCUCUGCGCAAGAAGGUAUGUGCGGUUUGCUGACUGCCACAAAGGCCUGCCAAUCAACACUCUACAGCUUGAUGGGGGAUGAAAAAGGGCUUCAUAAGGAAGGCCAACCAAUCAUCACUCCGCGCAGUCGGAUGGAGAGGGAGGUGGCUUUGGGUUGCCACAGUUGCCAGCUAGCUGUUGAGAUUCUGCACAGCUGCCGAGGACAGAAAGAAAUGGUUGGUUCUACAGUGGUACCUCGGGUUACAUACACUUCAGGUUA